ACGGCUCAGUAACACGUAGUCAACCUACCCUAUGGACGGGAAUAACCUCGGGAAACUGAGAAUAAUGCCCGAUAGAACAUUAUACCUGGAAUGGUUUAUGUUUCAAAUGAUUUAUCGCCGUAGGAUGGGACUGCGGCCUAUCAGUUUGUUGGUGAGGUAAUGGCCCACCAAGACUAUUACAGGUACGGGCUCUGAGAGGAGUAGCCCGGAGAUGGGUACUGAGACACGGACCCAGGCCCUAUGGGGCGCAGCAGGCGAGAAAACUUUGCAAUGUGCGAAAGCACGACAAGGUUAAUCCGAGUGGUUUCUGCUAAAGGAACCUUUUGUCAGUCCUAGAAACACUGAUGAAUAAGGGGUGGGCAAGUUCUGGUGUCAGCCGCCGCGGUAAAACCAGCACCUCAAGUGGUCAGGAUGAUUAUUGGGCCUAAAGCAUCCGUAGCCGGCUCUAUAAGUUUUCGGUUAAAUCUGUACGCUCAACGUACAGGCUGCCGGGAAUACUGCAGAGCUAGGGAGUGGGAGAGGUAGACGGUACUCGGUAGGAAGGGGUAAAAUCCUUUGAUCUAUUGAUGACCACCUGUGGCGAAGGCGGUCUACCAGAACGCGCCCGACGGUGAGGGAUGAAAGCUGGGGGAGCGAACCGGAUUAGAUACCCGGGUAGUCCCAGCUGUAAACGAUGCAGGCUAGGUGUUUGGGCGGCCACGAGCCGCCCUAGUGCCGCAGGGAAGCUGUUAAGCCUGCCGCCUGGGGAGUACGGCCGCAAGGCUGAAACUUAAAGGAAUUGGCGGGGGAGCACCACAAGGGGUGAAGCUUGCGGUUUAAUUGGAUUCAACGCCGGA
This 836-nucleotide ribosomal RNA is filed under the name uncultured archaeon. Its description in RNAcentral is "bacterial SSU rRNA". It matches the Rfam family "Archaeal small subunit ribosomal RNA", at positions 85 to 922 of the family's 1478-position model. The record is from RNAcentral.